Molecule: transfer RNA, 69 nt
Filed under: Bovicola caprae
Lineage: Eukaryota; Metazoa; Arthropoda; Insecta; Psocodea; Bovicoliidae
Description: tRNA-Cys
Source: RNAcentral
AACUCGAUAUUCUAGAAUAGGAUUCCAAGUUGCAAACUUGGAGGGGCUUGGGGUCCCAAGCUUGAGUUU